Ipomoea triloba (trilobed morning glory) is the source of this 2686-nucleotide long non-coding RNA. RefSeq lists it as uncharacterized. The record is from RefSeq and is a predicted model, not a curated record. NCBI's taxonomy places the organism in Eukaryota, Viridiplantae, Streptophyta, Magnoliopsida, Solanales, Convolvulaceae. The transcript is spliced from 3 exons.
UAUCUAUUGUCUAGGAGGCUCAGAACCGUAUUUGCUUAGCUCUUUGGCGCGUGGUUUCCACGGACGGGCUAUGGUUGCUCUCAAUCCCACCGUUUUAUGCUCGUGGAGCUGAAGAAUGAUUGAUUGUUCUGAACUUCAUCGAUUUGAGGCAGAUUAUUGUCCCAAACCUUAGCAGUUAGAGUCGAAUGAAGUUUUCUGUGAGAUCUACAGCUUAAGUUACAGGACAUACGUCGGAUCUGCUCCAUUAAUAUGGAGAACGGGAGCAUACCUGUUGGGAGUCCGAUGGUUGAUGGGCGAGAUAAGCUGGAUGUUUGCCGAGCGAUUAUAUUGAUUCAUGAAUUAUGUUGUAAAUGGAGCAGUGCAGGAUUGAAAUUUAUGAUGUAAAAGGAGAAAUUGGGGCAGAGGAGGCCUAUUUUCAUGGGGCUGAGUCCCAAUUGAUCUUUUUGUCAUCCCAGACCUUUGCCAUGUCAGGUGCGCUUGCAUGGCAGGUCCCAAAUUUAAUAAAAAUAAGAACUUUUUUUGGUUGAGGGGGAGAUCGCACGGGAUAUUCUAGCCCGGGAUCUCUCCCUUUGGUGGUGUGCCCUGUGUUUACUUGCUUUGCUAUCCUUUUGGUCCUCAACAUCCAACGUUCUCACACAAUCAACAAUCCCAACACGAUGGAAGCAUAUGGAUCAACAUCAUCUUGCUAACCAAAAGGUAUAAAGCAUGCAAUUAAUUUACGUUUUCAGAUUUAAAUUCACUUGGUUACCUUAGUUUAGAAGGCAAAGCAUGUCAGAAUCUGGUUUGUGGCAAAAAUACCAAAUUCAAAUGGUUACAAAAAAAUUAAAAUUUGAAACUAAUCACCCCUUUUAUAUGAGAUUGAAAAGAUUAAAAUUGAAAAGGAGUUUCAAAAUUUUUAUGUCAUUUAUAUUUCUACUAUUGAGUUUCAACUUACAGCCAUAAUCUUUUAUGGUAAAAUUUAUGACUAUUGAUUAUAAUUAUGUUUCAGAAUUUUGGGUGUGUAAUAGAAAGAAAUUAAAAGUUUUGUACUAUCAAUUAUCCAUAAUCUUUGUCAAACAUUGAGAAAGUGGAUACUUUAACCUGUAAUGACAUUAAACUAACUAGUUGAAUGUACUCCAAGCAUCAAUAUUUGGGUUAUGGCAGUCUCAGAUUUUUAGAUUAUCUAAAUGAACAUCCACAGACAAUUUUGCUAUUCAAGAUGGUAAAUUUAAUCAAUCAUACCUUAUGGAAUGAGAAAUUGAGGCAAAACAAAGAGUUGUUGGCAAAUGACCUUUACUCAUUUCUCUCAUUACCAUGGAAGUAUAUGGUUCAAACAUCCUUUGUUACUAUUCAUAUUGCUUUUCAUGACACAUUGCAUAUUUCAUAUCUACCUUUGUUGGUUUUCCACCUUACACAAGUUUAUUUUUAGUUCGUUCCCUUUUUAUAUACUUUUGGUACUUUGUACUCUGGUUGUAAAGCAGCGGAUGGGGAAGUUGAAGAAUAUCUUUGUAAAUCUGGAAACUUUUUAAUAAUUGUUGUUGUACUUGAUGUUUUCCGAAUUUACAAUUGUAUGAUACAUUGAGCUAUGUUGAACAAUGAGGAUGGAUGAUGUCUGCAAUUGGGAAGCUGCACUUUAAUUCAAGAGGUAUGGAAGAAGACCAUUCCAUUCAACAGAUGUUGACUGUUGAUGGUUGUUAUGGGAGUAGAAGAGCUUUUUUGUGCACAGAUAAAUUGCAUUGGCCUGCACAAUGACAUAGGAGCCUAUUCUCGGGUUGAAGAGGGACGGGAAGAUAUUGGAGGAGGCAAUUCAUUUCCAGAGGUGUAUCACUAAAAGCUGAUGAAAAGCAGGACCAGAGUCUUUUCUUCCAGGUUAAAUAGUUAUCAAGUUUUGCCCAAGCUUAUCAACUUAUGCCCAAGGAGUAUCAGCAUUUUGAUUGUUGCAUCCAUAAUGUUUGGAAUAUACAAUUUUGAUGAUUGCAUCUGUUGGGACAAAUCUGCUGAGAACAUAUCCCUGCUGCUGGUGAGAUUUCAGUUCACUUUCACAGUAGCUGCUCGUCUGGCAAUGUUUUCCUAUCAUCCUUUGGUAAUUGACACCAUCUUCUAGUUUUUUCUUAAAUAUGGUGCAUUUGGAGCUCGUCUGGCAAUGUUUUCCUAUCAUCCUUUGGUAAUUGACACCAUCUUCAGGUCUUCUCUUAAAUAUGGUGCAUUUGGAGCUCGUCUGGCAAUGUUUUCCCAUCAUCCUUUGGUAAUUCACACCAUCUUCAAGUAUUCUCUUACAUAUGGUGCAUUUGGAGCUGAUUACAAAUUUGAAUCACUUUGCCGUCUUUCUGUUCACUGAUCUGUUGAAACUAGAUAUGCUAAAUCUCUUUUCAUACAAUCCUUCUGUACUCUGUGGUGCUAAUGGACAUUCAAUAGAGGAGAUUGCUCCAAAUCCAGUGGGCAUUGCUCAGCUUGCAAACAGAGGAGUUAGCAGAGAUAUUCAGAGUACUUGAUCUUAUUUUGGCAGAUAAGAAUACCAUAGAGGUUAUUCCUUAAUCACCAUGUACUAAUGUGUGUUGGUUUUUUCAUAGAAUCAUAGUUUUCUUGCAACAACUAAUUGAAUCAAAUGAUUACGCUAUCUCAUCUAGGCAAUGGUUUAUGAAGUUCAAAGAAGAAUGUGUUGAUGUAUAAAACAAUCUAUUAUAUACGACAUUCUUUUGUGCACAAA